This is a long non-coding RNA of Notolabrus celidotus (New Zealand spotty), 1007 nucleotides long. RefSeq lists it as uncharacterized. Lineage: Eukaryota; Metazoa; Chordata; Actinopteri; Labriformes; Labridae. The transcript has 2 exons. The record is from RefSeq and is a predicted model, not a curated record.
UGCUGACAUGGAGACAAGUCCCGGUAAACAUGCAGUGACCGGACCAAAACAAAGAGUGAAGGAAUAACAGUUCGGGGGACACAAAUAGGCGGCCGGUGGCCGGAUGCCGCCUAAUGAGGGCCUCUGCUUUAGACUAUGCAAAGUGACCAUCUAGAACUCUGAGUUGUAAACAAUCGUAGUGUUGGAGAAUUAUUUUCAGCUCUUGGCUCAUUUGGCAGUGUGGAGAUCGAAACACAAACAAGGGAGAGAGAGAAAUAAGAAUCACCACUCCCCCUGUCCUCUAACUGAGCAGAAACCAAAUCAAAUCUCCGAUGACUUUCUGUGAAAUUCAAAUUCUACCCCAAGCUGAACUCACCAGGGAGGGAAGGUUGAUAAAACGAAGGACGGCAGAAUGAUCGGAGGAGAGCUGAAUGAAAGAAAACAUGGUCGAGGCGAUGUGGAUGAUGAUGAUGUGAGCAACGGCAAAGCCCAGCGACUUGUCAGUCGGGACGAGAUGUGAUCGAUGCUUACAAAUCAUCUAUGAAAGCAAAGAGAAACAUGGAGAGUUAGAGUGAAAGAGUGGGACGAAAAGAGGAGGGAGGAUACAGGAUGACUUCACAGGGAGAUGCUUCAAGCUUCAGAGGCGAAGCUCCAUCUGAUCAAUAAUGGAUGCUGCUGUCUCCUACACUGCUGGAGAAGGGCCGGUACAUUAGGUAAUGCAGGGGCUACAUUUAACUGGAUGGGCUUGUUAAUGCGUCCCGCUGGGGAAACACCCUCCCAACGCCACCCCACCCUCUGAACCUCCCCCUUCUUGCAAUACACAUACACAUGAACUCACCCAUCAACACUCCCUGCCUGAUCCCACACCCAUCGCCAUGCAGUGCAACUUUUUCCACAGGAGGAGUAGUUGAGCAGCAUUCGCAGAUUAUGGAUCAGAGUAUAAUCUGAGAUGUUGGAACAACACCUAGAUGGCAUGAGAGAGUAAAAUGUGUCAGUGGGUAAUAAACCUUAAUAAACAGAUAAAUGAA